RNAcentral lists this transfer RNA (73 nucleotides) under Deltaproteobacteria bacterium. RNAcentral describes it as "tRNA-Pro". It matches the Rfam family "tRNA". From Rfam's summary of the family: Transfer RNA (tRNA) molecules are approximately 80 nucleotides in length. The record is from RNAcentral. Lineage: Bacteria; Pseudomonadati; Myxococcota; Myxococcia.
CGGGGUGUAGCACAGUUGGUAGCGCGCCUGCUUUGGGAGCAGGAGGUCCCCAGUUCGAGUCUGGGCACCCCGA